UUUUUUUAGGAUAAUCGGAUAGAUACUACAUAUACUAAACAGAAAUAGACAUAACAUAACCGAGUUCAAAGUGUCAUGAUCACUAGAGAUUACAAAUGGAUUGCCAAAACUAACUUAUUACAAAUUGACAUAGAUUGGCUCCCAUGAUUGGAAACGCGUAGCUUGGAGGAGAUAACAAAAUAUUUACAUGGUCAGAUGCUAGCUUGGCACAAAAAUCCUGUCACCCCAUUCGUUUGCCGGACUCCCCAACUUCCUCAACAACAAUCUGCAAAACCAAAUAAUGGAGUGAUGAAAAAAAUAUCAGUGAGUCAACCUCUAUUUCCAGAGUUUUCCCCAGCAGGUUCCUUUGUUCUCACAACAUAUCGACAUCGUCACUAUCCCUGGUGACUUUCAACCUUCGGAGACUCCACAUUUAACUUCUUCACCGUUCCUUCUUCCCUUGUAGUCAUCAGUUUCUCUCUCCUCCCAGAUGGAUCAUUUGUUGGAAGAAGUCAAAACAGGUUUGCUACUAUUUUUAUUUCUUCUAAUAGAUGACCCAACUGUUGCAACAGAUGAUUCAUCUGUUGGAAGGAAUCACAAUAACUUUGUUACUGUUUUGAUUUCUUGCAAUAGAUGAUCCAUCUAUUGGUCAUUUAUUGAAAAAUAUUUGUGUACUGUGUUGUAAUUUUUAAAUUCACUGCUACAUUUUUUAACAAUGCGCAAAUCAAUUGUACUCUUUUUUGUUCUCAUCUUUUUUGUAGACAAAAUGGCUCCCAAAAAAGAAAGUCAAUCAACUUUUGAUAAACCAAGUAAAUAGCUAAAGUACAAACAACAAUAGAAGAACUUGUUGAAAAAGGUCGUUCACAAACAGAUAAGUAUUAUCAUAUGUAGAUGUACAAAAAAGAAUGAAGUAGUGAAAAAAGAUAAUGAAGAAGAAUCAAUUGGAAUAUCUAAAGAAGAUGUAGAAAAGAAAAGAGAGGGGAGAUGAGGAAGAAGUUAUAGAGGAGGAAGAUGAACAUAAGAAUAACAAAGAAGAUGAAGUAAAUAGUGAGGAUAAAGAUGAUGAAAAAAGUGAUAAAGGGAGAUGAGGAGGAAGGUGAGGAAGAUGAUGAAAAGAAAACUGAGGAAGGAGAAAAUGUUGAAGAGAAAAAUAGAAGAGAUCGUGACUUAUUAGUUUCGACGAUCAAUUGUGAACAUAAAUCGAAAGCCCAACAUAAUGUUAUCAAAACUUUUGGUAUUGACAAGUUUCAAGUAGAGAUGCCUACGGAUAAACUUACAAAUUUGACUGGUGAUUUUGUUUUUAAAUUAUUCACGGGAAUCAAAUUUGAUAGUUUAGGAAGACAUUGAGGGAUGAAAAUUAGAGGAUUACUUAAGUCAAUCUAUUUGGUACACUUUGUUGAUCUGUCGGAGUAUAACGAUGUAUGAUUUCAAAUGAAUAUGGCAUAUGAUAUUCUCAAAGGUAGGAUCAAGUAUAAAGGUGAUGAUGAUGAAACUUAGAAGGACGAGGACAAGAAUAUUAAUGAGAUUUGGAUAAAUUAUUGUGGCGUACCAGUUUGUUUUGGCAUGAAAGAAUUUGCCAUAGUGAUUGUAAUGAGAUGUCAUCCUCCUUUUGAACCUCUUUCCACAGUUGCACCCUCGAAAAAGCCAAAGAAAAGCAAGACAUCAAAAUCAGCCAAGACAGGAAAAAAGGCAAGACACCAACCAAGAAAACCACCAAGUCUGCCACUAAAACUAACAAAGGAAAAGACAAAAUAAAUAAGUUGUUGGACAUUGUUGGAUCAAGAUACAAAGCCAAGCAGUUGGUACUUGAUCUCAAGAACAAAAGCUUUUGAAGAAGUAUAAGGAGCCAUUGUGCUUAUUUGGUUUGUCCAUUUUAACUAAUGGGCAGAGACACUAACAAAGUAAUAGAACCUAAAUUCUUUGUGUUUGCUUAGAAUUUAGAGGUAUUCAACAAUUAUUCGUGAGGAUAUGAAAGCUAUUUAUUGACUAUCUAAUAUUUGUUGACAAAGUUAUCACCAAAGGCGAUCAAAUUAUAUGGUUUUCAUUGGGAUUUCAUAGUAAACUUCACCCUUGGUUCUUUAGUGUUUCAUUUAUAUAUGUUAUUGAAUAAUUAUUUUAAUUUUUUAUAUUAUGUGUAUAUUAUGGUUUGGGUUUGCUAUUUUCUAGCCUAUAAUGUUGAUGGGUCAGCCCGACCUGACCCGUCAAACUCCAAAGCCUGUGUGGGAUAUUUUGGAUGGGCUGGACCGGCCCGUAUUGACACUCUACAAGAAUGUAAGGAAAAAUAUGAGAACUUGAUUAGGUCUCAUGAUAUUCUGGCUGUUGCUGUUAAAGAAUUGACAUCUGAGAGAGGUGUCAUUCUGUAAAGGGAGAUUACAGAGCCAUUCAUCCCAUUGGAGGUUAAGAGGAGGAAAAAAAUAAUUUCCAAGGUAUUAUCAAAUAUUAAAUUAAGAAAAAUUACAACUCCUCUUUCUUGCACUAUUGAGUAAUAUACAAGGACCGUAGAAGAGCAACGAGAGAUGAAGAAGGUGAAUGUUUACAAAUUGGUGAAUGCCGCAAAGAAUUCUAAAUUGAACACAUCGAUGAAAUCAAAAAAAGCCCAGAAGUCUACUUUAUGCAUAAAUUUGAUGCAAAAAACCUCUAGAACAUGAUUAGUAUGGAGCAUUGGUAUGUGGACUGGAUAAGUUACUAUAUCUAACCUUAUAUUUAUAUAAUUUUAUUGGUAUGUUUAUUUAGAUGAUCCAUCUGUUACAACAGAUUAUCCAUGUAUUGCCUAAGAUGGGUAAUCUAUUAACAGAUUUAGAGAUAUGUUACAAUAGAUGACUUAUUUGUUGCAAGAGACAACUCAUCUAUUGCAACAAAUUACUCAUCUAUUGCAUAAGUUGCAGUAGAUGGAUAAUCUGUUAAUAGGUUCAGAGAUAUGUUGCAACAGAUGAGUCAUCUGUUGCAACAGAUUUUUCAUAUGUUGCAACAUAUUACCCAUCUGGUGUAUCUUUUCAGUUGUUGUUAUAAGUUACUAACUUAUAUAAAUUGUAUUUGUAUUUCAGUUGUUAAUGAAAUUAUUUACAUUAUGCGGGAUAGAUAUCAUAAAUUCAAUCAAUACUAUGUAUAGACGACAAAUUCUUCGAUUCAAGAAAAAUAAUAAUCGAGACAGGAAAAUUGAAGUAACAAAAUAUAAUAUUUGAUUUCAAAUGUAACAAGUGUUACAAUCUCUAUGAUAAUCCUCAGAUUCUUCAAAGUAAUAUGAACUUGAACUUGAUUUGGAUUCAAGGGAUUGAGUAGCUUGAUCUUGAAUCUUUGGCUUCGAAACUGAAUUUGGAUAUUAGUUCGUCACAAAUACUUGGAUGAUUGCCACGAAUGAUGAAUAUGAAUAAGUAACGUGAUCUUGAACUAAAAUUUCUUCGUUCUUGAUCUUGAACUUGUUCUUGAGCUUGAUGUCUGAAACUUUCAACUUGCAGAGAAAUUAUGAUUUUUGAUCCACCAUCUCUCUUCUUUCUUUUCGUUUCUCAAAAAUUCCUCCCUGUGAAUUAUGAGGACCCCUAUCUAUAGUUGAAGGGGUAAGAUAAUUGUGCGAUUUGAUUGAUCGAUUUGAAAUUGACCAAUCACAUUCUUUUGGUAACGAGCACUAAUUUGAUUGGCUAGAAUAUGUCAUCUGCACACAUGGCAUGGUUUUAGUGACCCAUUUCAUUUAACUUGGAUUGCCACAUAAUAUUGACGCAUGUCAUAUUUUUAAUGGUUCAUUUCAUUUAACUUGGAUU
This is a long non-coding RNA of Capsicum annuum, 3734 nucleotides long. RefSeq lists it as uncharacterized. The transcript has 3 exons. Lineage: Eukaryota; Viridiplantae; Streptophyta; Magnoliopsida; Solanales; Solanaceae. The record is from RefSeq and is a predicted model, not a curated record.